GUCUUUUUGAAUUUAAUUUAAAGUCUAAUCUGCUCUAUGAAUAAUUAUUUAAAUGGCCGCAGUAUAUUGACUGUGCAAAGGUAGCAUAAUAAUUAGUCUUUUAAUUAGAGGCUGGAAUGAAUGAUUUAAUGAAAUAUAAUCUGUUUCAAUUUAAUUUAUAGUUAAAUUUAAUUUUUAAGUUAAAAAGCUUAAAUUUUUUUAAAGGACGAGAAGACCCUAUAGAGUUUUAUAAUUUGUUUUGUUUAAAAAUUUUAAUUUUAUUUUUAAAUUAAAAAAUUAUUUUGUUGGGGCGAUGGGAAAAUUUAAUUAACUUUUUUUAUAUUAUUUUAAACAUAAAUUAAUGAAUUUUUGAUCCUUAUUUUAAGAUUAUAAGUUUAAAUUACCUUAGGGAUAACAGCGUUAUUUUUUUUAAAGUUCAUAUUUAUAAAAGAGAUUGCGACCUCGAUGUUGGAUUAAAAUUAAAUUUAGGUGGAGAAGCUUAAAAUUUAGGUCUGUUCGACCUUUGAAAUUUUACA
This 515-nucleotide ribosomal RNA is filed under the name Metallus rohweri. RNAcentral describes it as "partial 16S ribosomal RNA". The stretch from base 390 to 515 matches the Rfam family "Bacterial large subunit ribosomal RNA", at positions 2473 to 2600 of the family's 2925-position model. The record is from RNAcentral. Lineage: Eukaryota; Metazoa; Arthropoda; Insecta; Hymenoptera; Tenthredinidae.